RNAcentral lists this ribosomal RNA (397 nucleotides) under uncultured bacterium. RNAcentral describes it as "partial 16S ribosomal RNA". It matches the Rfam family "Bacterial small subunit ribosomal RNA", at positions 523 to 918 of the family's 1533-position model. The record is from RNAcentral.
AUACGUAGGGGACAAGCGUUAUCCGGAUUUACUGGGCGUAAAGGGCGUGUAGGCGGUCUUGCAAGUCAGAAGUGAAAUUCCUGAGCUCAACUCGGGCGCUGCUUCUGAAACUGCAGGACUUGAGUGCUGGAGGGGAAAGCGGAAUUCCUAGUGGAGCGGUAAAAUGCGCAGAUAUUAGGAAGAACACCGGUGGCGAAGGCGGCUAUCUGGACAGUAACUGACGCUGAGGCUCGAUAGCGUGGGGAGCAAACAGGAAUAGAUACCCUGGUAGUCCACGCCGUAAGCGAUGAAUACUAGGUGUAGGGGGUAUCGACUCCCUCUGUGCCGCAGUUAACACAAUAAGGAAUCCGCCUGGGGAGUACGGCCGCAAGGUUGAAACUCAAAUGAAUUGACGUGG